RNAcentral lists this ribosomal RNA (455 nucleotides) under uncultured bacterium. RNAcentral's name for it is "bacterial SSU rRNA". It matches the Rfam family "Bacterial small subunit ribosomal RNA", at positions 340 to 786 of the family's 1533-position model. The record is from RNAcentral.
UACGGGAGGCAGCAGUGGGGAAUAUUGCACAAUGGGCGCAAGCCUGAUGCAGCCAUGCCGCGUGUAUGAAGAAGGCCUUCGGGUUGUAAAGUACUUUCAGUCGUGAGGAAGGUGUUAAGGUUAAUAACCUUAGCAAUUGACGUUAGCGACAGAAGAAGCACCGGCUAACUCCGUGCCAGCAGCCGCGGUAAUACGGAGGGUGCGAGCGUUAAUCGGAAUUACUGGGCGUAAAGGGCACGCAGGCGGUUAAUUAAGUUGGAUGUGAAAUCCCCGGGCUUAACCUGGGAAUGGCAUUCAAGACUGGUUAGCUAGAGUCUUGUAGAGGGGGUAGAAUUCCAUGUGUAGCGGUGAAAUGCGUAGAGAUGUGGAGGAAUACCGGUGGCGAAGGCGGCCCCUGGACAAAGACUGACGCUCAUGUGCGAAAGCGUGGGGAAGCGAAACAGGGAUUAGAUACC